RNAcentral lists this ribosomal RNA (1195 nucleotides) under Streptococcus thermophilus. Its description in RNAcentral is "bacterial SSU rRNA". It matches the Rfam family "Bacterial small subunit ribosomal RNA", at positions 51 to 1241 of the family's 1533-position model. The record is from RNAcentral. Lineage: Bacteria; Bacillati; Bacillota; Bacilli; Lactobacillales; Streptococcaceae.
AUACAUGCAGUAGAACGCUGAAGAGAGGAGCUUGCUCUUCUUGGAUGAGUUGCGAACGGGUGAGUAACGCGUAGGUAACCUGCCUUGUAGCGGGGGAUAACUAUUGGAAACGAUAGCUAAUACCGCAUAACAAUGGAUGACACAUGUCAUUUAUUUGAAAGGGGCAAUUGCUCCACUACAAGAUGGACCUGCGUUGUAUUAGCUAGUAGGUGAGGUAAUGGCUCACCUAGGCGACGAUACAUAGCCGACCUGAGAGGGUGAUCGGCCACACUGGGACUGAGACACGGCCCAGACUCCUACGGGAGGCAGCAGUAGGGAAUCUUCGGCAAUGGGGGCAACCCUGACCGAGCAACGCCGCGUGAGUGAAGAAGGUUUUCGGAUCGUAAAGCUCUGUUGUAAGUCAAGAACGGGUGUGAGAGUGGAAAGUUCACACUGUGACGGUAGCUUACCAGAAAGGGACGGCUAACUACGUGCCAGCAGCCGCGGUAAUACGUAGGUCCCGAGCGUUGUCCGGAUUUAUUGGGCGUAAAGCGAGCGCAGGCGGUUUGAUAAGUCUGAAGUUAAAGGCUGUGGCUCAACCAUAGUUCGCUUUGGAAACUGUCAAACUUGAGUGCAGAAGGGGAGAGUGGAAUUCCAUGUGUAGCGGUGAAAUGCGUAGAUAUAUGGAGGAACACCGGUGGCGAAAGCGGCUCUCUGGUCUGUAACUGACGCUGAGGCUCGAAAGCGUGGGGAGCGAACAGGAUUAGAUACCCUGGUAGUCCACGCCGUAAACGAUGAGUGCUAGGUGUUGGAUCCUUUCCGGGAUUCAGUGCCGCAGCUAACGCAUUAAGCACUCCGCCUGGGGAGUACGACCGCAAGGUUGAAACUCAAAGGAAUUGACGGGGGCCCGCACAAGCGGUGGAGCAUGUGGUUUAAUUCGAAGCAACGCGAAGAACCUUACCAGGUCUUGACAUCCCGAUGCUAUUUCUAGAGAUAGAAAGUUACUUCGGUACAUCGGUGACAGGUGGUGCAUGGUUGUCGUCAGCUCGUGUCGUGAGAUGUUGGGUUAAGUCCCGCACGAGCGCACCCCUAUUGUUAUUGCCAUCAUUCAUUUGGGCACCUAGCGAAAUGCCGGUAUAAACCGGAGAAAGGGGGGGGAGGACGUCCAAUCUCAGGCCCCUAUAACCGGGGCACCCCCUGCUCAAUGGUGGUAAAC